AGGAUAGAGGCGCGUGGUGCAUCAGUACGCCGGCGGAGCCCAUCAAGGGGCGGGGAGGCCGGGGGAAAGGGCGCCAUGCCGAAGCGGGCGGCUGCUUGAGGGGCCGUGCGCUGGGCGCCGGGGCGAACAGCCCGGCGACUGUCACAAUACACAUUGUGGAGCGCUAUCGUU
RNAcentral lists this non-coding RNA (171 nucleotides) under Candidatus Excrementavichristensenella intestinipullorum. Its description in RNAcentral is "Lysine riboswitch". It matches the Rfam family "Lysine riboswitch aptamer". Rfam says of the family: Riboswitches are metabolite binding domains within certain messenger RNAs that serve as precision sensors for their corresponding targets. Allosteric rearrangement of mRNA structure is mediated by ligand binding, and this results in modulation of gene expression. This family includes riboswitches that sense lysine in a number of genes involved in lysine metabolism, including lysC. Lineage: Bacteria; Bacillati; Bacillota; Clostridia. The record is from RNAcentral.